RNAcentral lists this ribosomal RNA (497 nucleotides) under Vibrio campbellii. RNAcentral describes it as "bacterial SSU rRNA". It matches the Rfam family "Bacterial small subunit ribosomal RNA", at positions 26 to 501 of the family's 1533-position model. Lineage: Bacteria; Pseudomonadati; Pseudomonadota; Gammaproteobacteria; Vibrionales; Vibrionaceae. The record is from RNAcentral.
AGAUUGAACGCUGGCGGCAGGCCUAACACAUGCAAGUCGAGCGGAAACGAGUUAUCUGAACCUUCGGGGAACGAUAACGGCGUCGAGCGGCGGACGGGUGAGUAAUGCCUAGGAAAUUGCCCUGAUGUGGGGGAUAACCAUUGGAAACGAUGGCUAAUACCGCAUAAUGCCUACGGGCCAAAGAGGGGGACCUUCGGGCCUCUCGCGUCAGGAUAUGCCUAGGAUGGGAUUAGCUAGUUGGUGAGGUAAGGGCUCACCAAGGCGACGAUCCCUAGCUGGUCUGAGAGGAUGAUCAGCCACACUGGAACUGAGACACGGUCCAGACUCCUACGGGAGGCAGCAGUGGGGAAUAUUGCACAAUGGGCGCAAGCCUGAUGCAGCCAUGCCGCGUGUGUGAAGAAGGCCUUCGGGUUGUAAAGCACUUUCAGUCGUGAGGAAGGUAGUGUAGUUAAUAGCUGCAUUAUUUGACGUUAGCGACAGAAGAAGCACCGGCUAAC